CCUACGGGAGGCAGCAGUGAGGAAUAUUGGUCAAUGGCCGGAAGGCUGAACCAGCCAAGCCGCGUGAAUGACGAAGGUGCCAAGCAUUGUAAACUUCUUUUGUCAAGGGACAAAAUCAGGCUCGAGAGCCUGACCGAGGGUACUUGAAGAAAAAGCAUCGGCUAACUCCGUGCCAGCCGCCGCGGUAAUACGGAGGAUGCGAGCGUUAUCCGGAUUUAUUGGGUUUAAGGGGUGCGUAGGCGGACUGUUAAGUCAGCGGUAAAAGCCCGGGGCUCAACCCCGGCGAGCCGUUGAAACUGGGUGUCUUGAGAUGUCGAGAGGAAUGCGGAAUGCGCAGUGUAGCGGUGAAAUGCUUAGAUAUUGCGCAGAACUCCGAUGGCGAAGGCAGCAUACCGGCGGCGAUCUGACGCUGAGGCACGAAAGCGUGGGUAUCGAACAGGAUUAGAUACCCUAGUAGUC
RNAcentral lists this ribosomal RNA (459 nucleotides) under uncultured bacterium. RNAcentral's name for it is "partial 16S ribosomal RNA". It matches the Rfam family "Bacterial small subunit ribosomal RNA", at positions 338 to 795 of the family's 1533-position model. The record is from RNAcentral.